Molecule: ribosomal RNA, 478 nt
Filed under: uncultured bacterium
Lineage: Bacteria
Description: partial 16S ribosomal RNA
Rfam family: Bacterial small subunit ribosomal RNA
Source: RNAcentral
GACGAACGCUGGCGGCGUGCUUAACACAUGCAAGUCGAACGGUAAGGCCCUUCGGGGUACACGAGUGGCGAACGGGUGAGUAACACGUGGGUGAUCUGCCCUGCACUUCGGGAUAAGCCUGGGAAACUGGGUCUAAUACCGGAUAGGACCACUGCCUGCAUGGGUGGUGGUGGAAAGCUUUUGCGGUGUGGGAUGGGCCCGCGGCCUAUCAGCUUGUUGGUGGGGUGAUGGCCUACCAAGGGGACGACGGGUAGCCGGCCUGCGAGGGUGACCGGCCACACGGGGACAGAGACACGGCCCAGACUCCUACGGGAGGCAGGAGUGGGGAAUAGUGCACAAUGGGCGCAAGCCUGAUGCAGCGACGCCGCGUGAGGGAUGACGGCCUUCGGGUUGUAAACCUCUUUCAGCACCGACGAAGCGCAAGUGACGGUAGGCGCAGAAGAAGGACCGGCCAACUACGUGCCAGCCGCCGCAGUAA